This 420-nucleotide ribosomal RNA is filed under the name uncultured bacterium. RNAcentral describes it as "bacterial SSU rRNA". It matches the Rfam family "Bacterial small subunit ribosomal RNA", at positions 54 to 463 of the family's 1533-position model. The record is from RNAcentral.
CGGCCGCGUCGACGACGGAAGGGAAAGCUUGCUUUCCCGGAAGUCAGUGGCGAACGGGUGAGUAACACGUAGGUAACCUGCCCAUGUGCCCGGGACAACGCCUGGAAACGGGUGCUAAAACCGGAUAGGUAGAAAGAUCGCAUGAACUUUCUAUUAAAGGGGCUACGGCCCUGAACAUGGAUGGACCUGCGGUGCAUUAGCUAGUUGGUGAGGUAACGGCCCACCAAGGCGACGAUGCAUAGCCGACCUGAGAGGGCGAACGGCCACAUUGGGACUGAGACACGGCCCAAACUCCUACGGGAGGCAGCAGUAGGGUAAUUUUCGUCAAUGGGGGGAACCCUGAACGAGCAAUGCCGCGUGAGUGAAGACGGUCUUCGGAUUGUAAAGCUCUGUUGCGAGAGAAAAACGACACGGAUAGGG